RNAcentral lists this long non-coding RNA (1374 nucleotides) under Macaca mulatta (Rhesus monkey). RNAcentral's name for it is "lncRNA (ENSMMUG00000060076.1)". The record is from RNAcentral. Lineage: Eukaryota; Metazoa; Chordata; Mammalia; Primates; Cercopithecidae.
GGCUGCUAGGAGACGCUAUUCCCUUUACCAGGCCCUCAUGCGGGCCAGCCAGCCAGGCAAAGGCCAGGGGAGCUCGAGACUGGCAACCUGGGCGAAGAACCGGAAGGAGGAAAAGGAAACGGAGGGAGAAAGAGUGAUGAGAAACGUCCACACUCCUAAUGUCUUGCCUCCUCUAAGUCGCCGGACACACAGCCCAACUUCCCUGGCAAACUUGCUUUUCAAACUCUCUUCUCCAUCUCAGUCAGGGGCUCAGGUUCUGUAGUGCUGCCAUGCUUUACUCCUCUGUCCCUCCCCUUAUCUAGUCUCCCGCAUUGACUUUAUAAGCAAGUUUUGAGUCCCUGCCUCUGGAGUGCCUGAUGAGACAAAACUGCUCCUCGUCCUGCAUCCCCGCUGCUACUUCCAGAACUCAGGGCUCGUGGUCUGGAGCCUGCACUGUUCCAUGAGCCUCCUGACCAACCUGGAAGCCUCUGUCUUUCCUCCCUCAGUGAGAUGCACCUACUUCUCCCUGGAGAAGCUCGAGGAAGCAGGAAUACUGAAGAUGAGCAGGUCAGCACCAGACCCGAAAACGCUCUGAUUUCUGCCCUCCACGCCAUACUCUCUUCACCUGCUGCCUCCUCAUUCCUCCCAUUAACAAUGUCCUGGCAGGAACAAGACUUUCCCCUCCCUCUCUGCUUGUCUCUUAGCAGAGACCACAUCUGCUCAGGGGUUUAUUCUUCCAUCUGUUUGCAGGGCUGUUUUGGACUCAGUAUUCACCUAAGCACUCCAAACUGUAAGUAACCCCAGAGCUCAUGGAGUGUCCCACUGCCCCUCCAUCUGGAGGCUGUGGCACCUCCCCCGAAGAGGAGGUGCUUGCAUGCGUCCAGUGCCCUGCCCAUUAGAUUAGAGAGGGCUCCCUUCUUUGCUCUCUUGCACUCAUUUGUCUGCCUUUUAGCUUUCCUUUUCUGCCCUGGACUCACACAGGGUCGCGUGAACGUGUGGUGUAGCAGGAGGAGACAGGUAAAGUGGAGGAAUAGGAGCUGGAGGGGAGCAGAAGGGAAGAAAAGAGGAGGGGGAGGGGAAAGAGAGGGAGUGGGUGGAAGGAGGAGAAGGGGAGGAGGUGAAGGAGGAGAGGAGGACACAGAAAAGAGAAGAAAAAGGAGAGGAGGAGACAGGAGGAGGAGCAGCAAAGGAGGAAGAAGAGGAAGAGGACAAGAAGAGCAAGUAAGGAGGAGGAGGGGGGAGUGGGAGGAGUAGGAAGAGAGAAGGACCGAAGGAAAAGGAAAAGGAUAGGCAGAUGUGGAGGAGAGGAGGCAGAGGAGAGGAGGAGAUGAGAAAGAGGAGGGAAAAGGAGAGGAGAGGGAUGAGUGGGAAGGAGGAGGAAGAAGAACAGGAAAA